AUACGGAGGGGGCUAGCGUUGUUCGGAAUUACUAGGCGUAAAGCGUACGUAGGCGGACUGAUCAGUUGGGGGUGAAAUCCCAGGGCUUAACCCUGGAACUGCCUUCAAUACUGUCAGUCUUGAGUUUGGGAGAGGUGAGUGGAAUUCCUAGUGUAGAGGUGAAAUUCAUAGAUAUUAGGAGGAACACCAGUGGCGAAGGCGGCUCACUGGCCCAUUACUGACGCUGAGGUACGAAAGCGUGGGGAGCAAACAGGAUUAGAAACCCUAGUAGUCC
This 274-nucleotide ribosomal RNA is filed under the name uncultured bacterium. RNAcentral's name for it is "partial 16S ribosomal RNA". It matches the Rfam family "Bacterial small subunit ribosomal RNA", at positions 523 to 796 of the family's 1533-position model. The record is from RNAcentral.